AUUGAACGCUGGCGGCAUGCCUUACACAUGCAAGUCGAACGGUAACAGGUCUUCUGAUGCUGACGAGUGGCGAACGGGUGCGUAAUACAUCGGAACGUGCCCAGACGUGGGGGAUAACGAGGCGAAAGCUUUGCUAAUACCGCAUACGAUCUAAGGAUGAAAGCAGGGGACCGCAAGGCCUUGUGCGUUUGGAGCGGCCGAUGGCAGAUUAGGUAGUUGGUGGGAUAAAAGCUUACCAAGCCGACGAUCUGUAGCUGGUCUGAGAGGACGACCAGCCACACUGGGACUGAGACACGGCCCAGACUCCUACGGGAGGCAGCAGUGGGGAAUUUUGGACAAUGGGCGAAAGCCUGAUCCAGCAAUGCCGCGUGCAGGAUGAAGGCCUUCGGGUUGUAAACUGCUUUUGUACGGAACGAAAAGGCUCUGGCUAAUACCUGGGGCACAUGACGGUACCGUAAGAAUAAGCACCGGCUAACUACGUG
RNAcentral lists this ribosomal RNA (482 nucleotides) under uncultured bacterium. RNAcentral describes it as "partial 16S ribosomal RNA". It matches the Rfam family "Bacterial small subunit ribosomal RNA", at positions 30 to 507 of the family's 1533-position model. The record is from RNAcentral.